ACCCCCCAGUUUCUUUAUCCAUCGGAUCUGAACACUGGUCUGAGUGGUUUCAAAGGGAAGAAAUGUAAAAUGGAAACUUAUCUCAACACUUUUGUUUUCAUGAAAGAAAUUGAUAUUGCUAAUUAGACAUGU
This 132-nucleotide small nucleolar RNA is filed under the name Echinops telfairi (small Madagascar hedgehog). RNAcentral describes it as "Small nucleolar RNA SNORA61 (ENSETEG00000024007.1)". The record is from RNAcentral. Lineage: Eukaryota; Metazoa; Chordata; Mammalia; Afrosoricida; Tenrecidae.